UCCUGCCUGUUGUAGGCCCCUUCAGGA
This 27-nucleotide non-coding RNA is filed under the name Homo sapiens (human). Lineage: Eukaryota; Metazoa; Chordata; Mammalia; Primates; Hominidae. The record is from RNAcentral.